Molecule: ribosomal RNA, 583 nt
Filed under: Moelleriella libera
Lineage: Eukaryota; Fungi; Ascomycota; Sordariomycetes; Hypocreales; Clavicipitaceae
Description: SSU rRNA
Rfam family: Bacterial small subunit ribosomal RNA
Source: RNAcentral
CCGGGAUAGGUAGUAGUUAAGGUGAUGGCUUAACUAGCUUAAAAUUCUCGUAGUCGAAGCUGAAAGGUUGAUCGACCACAUUGGGUCUGAAAAAACCCCAAUGCAAGUUAGUACAGCAGUGAGGAAUCUUGGUCAAUGGCCUAACGGCUGAACUGGCAACUUGGAGAAGUGGCAAGUCUUAUUUUUGAUUAUAAUUUUAGAUAAUCUAUAAGAUUGUAUUAAAAUUGAAUAAAGCUUUGUUUAUAUAUUGAUAAUGACAAUAUAUAUAUCGUGUCUUGACUAAUUACGUGCCAGCAGUCGCGGUAAUACGUAAGAGACUAGUGUUAUUCAUCUUAAUUAGGUUUAAAGGGUACCUAGACGGUCAAUAUAGCUUCUAGAAUGUUAGUACUUGACUAGAGUUUGAUGUAAGGGGGCAGUACUUGAGGAGGAGAGAUGAAAUUCUAUUAUACCAAAGGGACUCGGUAAAGGCGAAGGCAGCCCUUUAUGUAAAAACUGACGUUGAAGGACGAAGGCACAGAGCACAAACAGGAUUAGAUACCCAAGUAGUCUUUGCAGUAAAUGAUGAAUGCCAUAGGUUUAGAUU